CCAGACUCCUACGGGAGGCAGCAGUGAGGAAUAUUGGUCAAUGGGCGCGAGCCUGAACCAGCCAAGUCGCGUGAGGGAGGACGGCCCUACGGGUUGUAAACCUCUUUUGCCGGGGAGCAACGGGCGUCACGUGUGGCGCCACUGAGAGUACCCGGAGAAAAAGCAUCGGCUAACUCCGUGCCAGCAGCCGCGGUAAUACGGAGGAUGCGAGCGUUAUCCGGAUUUAUUGGGUUUAAAGGGUGCGUAGGCGGACUGUUAAGUCAGCGGUAAAAGCCCGGGGCUCAACCCUGGGACUGCUCUGGAAACUGUAAAGCUGGAGUGCAGGAGGGGCAGGCGGAAUUCCUGGUGUAGCGGUGAAAUGCGUAGAUAUCAGGAGGAACACCGGCGGCGGAGGCGGCCUGCUGGACCGUAACUGACGUUGAGGCUCGAAAGCGUGGGUAUCGAACAGGAUUAGAUACCCGAGUA
RNAcentral lists this ribosomal RNA (465 nucleotides) under uncultured bacterium. RNAcentral describes it as "bacterial SSU rRNA". It matches the Rfam family "Bacterial small subunit ribosomal RNA", at positions 331 to 792 of the family's 1533-position model. The record is from RNAcentral.